AAGACGAUGGGAAUUCUUAUCUGUCGUUGUAAAUUUCACUUGGAGGUCUGCGCUGAACUAAAGGCGAAUGAUCCUGGUGCACAUUUUGCCCUCCUCACUAAAAAGGCCGACUGGUUUUGGCGGGAUUCUAGUUGGGCCUCUUUCUCUGUGCACAUGAGGGGGAAUUGCUUGUAUUUCUAGUAAGGUUUUGCAGUCCCAUGGUCUUGUAGUAAAGCAGACCUUGGCAUGACCUUGGCCCGACCUGGUUGGUGACCGUUCAGUGCUCUUGGUAAGAGAACUUAGAUAUUUGUAAAGUUCCCAUGAUUUGUUUUGCAGAUUCACCUUAAAAUUUUUAGAUUCUCUUGAAUUAUGUUUUAUUUACUAAAUCAGCAAUUUUGCUAUUUUCUGCACCCUUGGAUUCAGGAAUGGGAAGCGUGUACCUGGGAAAUGAGCAUGUGGUAUAUCAAACCCAUUUUACCCACAGAAACCGUUAACACCAGGCAUGACGGGUCUAUGGUGUACGUGGGAUAUUAAGCCGCCAGUGUGCCUGGGAGAGCCAACCACCUCAUCUGUCUCCUGUUCUGGGAAAUGGUUGAGAGGUGAAGGUUUUAACACUGAGGCUCGUCACGGUACAGGAGACCGAGUCUGCUGCGUGGACAUCAUAGACCUUCACUGCUCUGUUGGCGCGUUUCCUGGAGUCGCGACCGGACAGCGUCGGAAUCCGUCCCUUUUCCCCGUCGAGUGGAAGGACUUUAGGCAGGAGAAUGGCUCGCCUGGCUGGAAUGUCCUUGGGCUGCAUGGCUGCGCUGGCAUACCUCUCCUGCCUACUGCUGGUACUGGCGCACAGCGCCACCCGCCCAGGGGC
This is a non-coding RNA of Electrophorus electricus (electric eel), 844 nucleotides long. The record is from RefSeq and is a predicted model, not a curated record. Lineage: Eukaryota; Metazoa; Chordata; Actinopteri; Gymnotiformes; Gymnotidae.